This 96-nucleotide transfer RNA is filed under the name Catellatospora sp. IY07-71. RNAcentral describes it as "tRNA-Arg". The record is from RNAcentral. Lineage: Bacteria; Bacillati; Actinomycetota; Actinomycetes; Micromonosporales; Micromonosporaceae.
GCAGCCGGUAGCCGACGUCGGCCACGCCCGGCUCCCCCGGCGUGCCGUGGCGCUCCUGCCAGCGCCCGCUGUCCAGAUCGUCGCUCAGCCGCCGCA